RNAcentral lists this ribosomal RNA (351 nucleotides) under uncultured fungus. RNAcentral describes it as "SSU rRNA". It matches the Rfam family "Eukaryotic small subunit ribosomal RNA", at positions 1326 to 1698 of the family's 1831-position model. The record is from RNAcentral. Lineage: Eukaryota; Fungi.
CGAUAACGAACGAGACCUUAACCUGUUAAAUAGCCAGGCCGGCUUUUGCUGGUCGCCGGCUUUUUAGAGGGACUGUCAGCGUUUAGCUGACGGAAGUUUGAGGCAAUAACAGGUCUGUGAUGCCCUUAGAUGUUUUGGGCCGCACGCGCGCUACACUGACAGAUCCAGCGAGUUUAUUUCCUUGACCGGAAGGUUUGGGUAAUUUUGUGAAACUUUGUCGUGCUGGGGAUAGAGCAUUGCAAUUAUUGCUUUUCAACGAGGAAUUCCUAGUAAGCGUGAGUCAUCAGCUCGCGUUGAUUACGUCCCUGCCCUUUGUACACACCGCCCGUCGCUACUACCGAUUGAAUGGCU